AAAUUGAAGAGUUUGAUCAUGGCUCAGAUUGAACGCUGGCGGCAGGCCUAACACAUGCAAGUCGAACGGUAACAGGAAGCAGCUUGCUGCUUCGCUGACGAGUGGCGGACGGGUGAGUAAUGUCUGGGAAACUGCCUGAUGGAGGGGGAUAACUACUGGAAACGGUGGCUAAUACCGCAUAACGUCGCAAGACCAAAGAGGGGGACCUUCGGGCCUCUUGCCAUCAGAUGUGCCCAGAUGGGAUUAGCUUGUUGGUGAGGUAACGGCUCACCAAGGCGACGAUCCCUAGCUGGUCUGAGAGGAUGACCAGCCACACUGGAACUGAGACACGGUCCAGACUCCUACGGGAGGCAGCAGUGGGGAAUAUUGCACAAUGGGC
Molecule: ribosomal RNA, 379 nt
Filed under: Salmonella enterica subsp. enterica serovar Typhimurium
Lineage: Bacteria; Pseudomonadati; Pseudomonadota; Gammaproteobacteria; Enterobacterales; Enterobacteriaceae
Description: bacterial SSU rRNA
Rfam family: Bacterial small subunit ribosomal RNA
Source: RNAcentral